Pelobates cultripes (western spadefoot toad) is the source of this 294-nucleotide non-coding RNA. Lineage: Eukaryota; Metazoa; Chordata; Amphibia; Anura; Pelobatidae. The record is from the annotation of a GenBank genome assembly.
CUUCACACACACAGACCCCUACAAAGACUCAUAUAUACUCACACACAAUCUCAUAUACAUACAGAGGCGGCUCUAGACUUUAUGAGGCCUUAGACGAAACUCAAACAUGAGGCCCCACUAACAAAAAAGUGUCACAUAUACACAUUGAGGCACUGUCUACCUGUGUAUGUGCCUGAGAGUGUGUCUGACAGAGAGUAUCCUUGUGUAUGUGAAUGUAUGUCUCUGUGAGCAUGCAUUUUUGUCUGAGACCGUAUGUGUAUGGGGUAGCUGCUUGAAGUGUGUUGUGUGUAUGGG